This 495-nucleotide ribosomal RNA is filed under the name uncultured bacterium. Its description in RNAcentral is "partial 16S ribosomal RNA". It matches the Rfam family "Bacterial small subunit ribosomal RNA", at positions 28 to 507 of the family's 1533-position model. The record is from RNAcentral.
GACGAACGCUGGCGGCGUGCCUAAUACAUGCAAGUAGAACGCUGAAGGAGGAGCUUGCUCUUCUGGAUGAGUUGCGAACGGGUGAGUAACGCGUAGGUAACCUGCCUGGUAGCGGGGGAUAACUAUUGGAAACGAUAGCUAAUACCGCAUAACAGUAGAUGUUGCAUGACAUUUGCUUAAAAGGUGCAAUUGCACCACUACCAGAUGGACCUGCGUUGUAUUAGCUAGUUGGUGGGGUAACGGCUCACCAAGGGGACGAUACAUAGCCGACCUGAGAGGGGAAGCUGCAAAGCUGGGACGAGAACACGGCCCGGAAUACUGCGAGAGGGAGCAGUAGGGAAUCUUCGGCGAUGGACGGAAGUCUGAACGAGCGACGCCGCGUGAGUGAAGAAGGUUGUCGGAUCGUAAAGCUCUGUUGUAAGAGAAGAACGAAUGUGAGAGUUGAAAGUUCACACUGUGACGGUAUCUUACCAGAAAGGGACGGCUAACUACGUG